GACGUAGGGGGCAAGCGUUGUCCGGAUUUACUGGGCGUAAAGAGCGUGUAGGCGGCCACGCAGGUCCGUUGUGAAAACUAGAGGCUUAACCUCUAGACGUCGAUGGAAACUGUUUGGCUAGAGUCCGGAAGAGGAGAAUGGAAUUCCUGGUGUAGCGGUGAAAUGCGCAGAUAUCAGGAAGAACACCCGUGGCUAAGGCGGUUCUCUAGUACGGUACUGACGCUGAGACGCGAAAGCGUGGGGAGCGAACAGG
Molecule: ribosomal RNA, 253 nt
Filed under: uncultured bacterium
Lineage: Bacteria
Description: partial 16S ribosomal RNA
Rfam family: Bacterial small subunit ribosomal RNA
Source: RNAcentral